AAUUUUAGACAAUGGGGGAAACCCUGAUCCAGCCAUCCCGCGUGUAUGAUGAAGGCCUUCGGGUUGUAAAGUACUUUUGGCAGAGAAGAAAAGGUAUCUCUUAAUACGAGAUACUGCUGACGGUAUCUGCAGAAUAAGCACCCGCGAACUACAUGCCAGCAGCCGCGGUAAUACGUAGGGUGCAAUCGUUAAUCGGAAUUACUGGGCGUAAAGCGUGUGUAGGGGGUUCGGAAAGAAAAAUGUGAAAACCCAGGGCUCAACCUUGGAACUGCAUUUUUAACUGCCGAGCUAGAGUAUGUCAGAGGGGGGUAGAAUUCCACGUGUAGCAGUGAAAUGCGUAAAUAUGCGGAGGAAUACCGAUGGCGAAGGCAGCCCCCUGGGAUAAUACUGACGCUCAGGCGCGAAAGCGUGGGGAGCAAACA
RNAcentral lists this ribosomal RNA (422 nucleotides) under uncultured bacterium. Its description in RNAcentral is "partial 16S ribosomal RNA". It matches the Rfam family "Bacterial small subunit ribosomal RNA", at positions 360 to 774 of the family's 1533-position model. The record is from RNAcentral.